Molecule: ribosomal RNA, 453 nt
Filed under: uncultured bacterium
Lineage: Bacteria
Description: bacterial SSU rRNA
Rfam family: Bacterial small subunit ribosomal RNA
Source: RNAcentral
AGCGAACGCUGGCGGCAGGCCUAACACAUGCAAGUCGAGCGCCCGUAGCAAUACGGGAGCGGCAGACGGGAGAGUAACACGUGGGAACGUACCCUUCAGUUCGGAGUAACCCAGGGAAACUUGGACUAAUACCGAAUACGUCCGUAAGGAGAAAGAUUUAUCGCUGAAGGAUCGGCCCGCGUCUGAUUAGCUUGUUGGUGAGGUAACGGCUCACCAAGGCGACGAUCAGUAGCUGGCUGAGAGGAUGAUCAGCCUCACUGGGACUGAGACACGGCCCAGACUCCUACGGGAGGCAGCAGGUGGGGAAUAUUGGACAAUGGGCGCAAGCCUGAUCCAGCCAUGCCGCGUGGAUGAUGAAGGCCCUAGGGUUGUAAAGUCCUUUCGGCGGGGAAGAUAAUGACGGUACCCGCAGAAGAACGCCCCGGCUAACUUCGUGCCAGCCGCCGCUGUAAG